CAUUGGACUCUGCCAUCUGGAGAACUUGUGGCCUUUCCAUCUCAGUGGGUCUCCCUCACAUUGCUUCGGAUUUAGCUUUUUGCCGAAUCUAAAGUACAUCUGAAGAUAUCCUUUCUCAGGAAGAAGCAAAAGGCAAACAGUAGUUGAACACUUGGACUGCAAACAUAGAAUUGCUUCAUUUUACUCCUUGUGGGCUUUGGAUGAAACCCACAUACCCAAAGAUGUCUCCUUGCUGCAGAGGUGG
RNAcentral lists this long non-coding RNA (244 nucleotides) under Dromaius novaehollandiae (emu). RNAcentral describes it as "lncRNA (ENSDNVG00000008339.1)". Lineage: Eukaryota; Metazoa; Chordata; Aves; Casuariiformes; Dromaiidae. The record is from RNAcentral.